Molecule: long non-coding RNA, 23099 nt
Filed under: Fragaria vesca (wild strawberry)
Lineage: Eukaryota; Viridiplantae; Streptophyta; Magnoliopsida; Rosales; Rosaceae
Description: long non-coding RNA (FVES_LNC003858)
Source: RNAcentral
AUUCUUUUUAGGCUGGGAGGAAUCUGGUAUUUUGCAAAGUGCGAAAGAGAAUCGCAGCCCUUAAUCUCUAUGACUUGGAGACAAGGUGGCAGACCAACAUCCGGAAAAGAAACAAGACUUGAACAUUUACUUAUGUGCAGCUCUUGAAGUGAUCUAAGGUGAUGCAAUCUUUCUGGUACCUUCACAAGGCUUCCACACUUGCUUAAUUCCAGACAUUCAAUAUUGCAAUCCAGGAUUUGCAAUUGCACCAACUGUUCUACUUCAAUCCCUAGCUUUUCAACAAGGAUCGAGUUGUCUUCGAUAUACAGACGACCAAGAGAAAUCAAGUGUUGCAGUAAUCUAUCCUCGUUUUGAAAGCAACAUGUAAGCUCCUCACAACGAGUGAUCUUCAACUCUUUAACAUUUUUCAAGCUUUUCAUGAACGCCUCUGUUUGGAAUCUCAAUUCUGAUACAUUUGAAAAUGUCAAACUCUCUAGUAAGUCAAACCGAACCGUACUUGUGUCGUACACCACCAUCUUGCACUUUUCAAUGAUUGAUCCAUGAAGCUGUCUGUAUUUGGAUACUGAAACAACCAAUUCCUCACAUCCAUAUAUCCUAAGCUGUGCUAAUGAAUCAAGAUUCUCUGGUAAAUCACCCUCUAAUUUGGGGCAGCCCCUGAUGGAAAGCCUUUUCAGGCAAGAGAAAACUUCAACCCCCUCACUUUGUUGGCAAGGAUACCAAUUCUUCCAAUUUUUCAGAUUCCAAAACUCAAGGGUCUCUAAAGCUUGAAACGACAAGUCACCUUCUCCAUAAAACUCAACACCAACACUCUCCACUGCAUCCAUUUCUUGUAUACAAAGUUCUUUGAGACAAGGCAACUGUCCGAAUGGUGGCAAGAAUUGACAAUGAUUACAACCUUCUAACUUUACCCGCACCAUUUUAGUGAAUGAAGGAUUCCCAAUCCAUGUUGAAAAUUUCAAUCCACCAUAACCUUUGAUGGUGAGCUCUUUGAGCUUGCUAUGAGGUUGUAACAUGUCAAGCACAAUUGCUGCAUCUUCUGUUGAGACAGUCGAAGAAGACCAUUCAAGAAAUAGGGCUUCAAGCCUUUCCUUGCUCUUUAAGUUGGCACUCCUGGCAUCCUCGACACGAAUCACAUUUUCUAGUCUUGAGAUGUGCAAUGUCCCUUGCAGAUGCAAUAAUGACUCAAUCUCUCUUACUCCUGAUCCACUACCUUUGCCAAUAACAAACUCAGGCAAUGUUUGGAGGUUAGUCAAUUGACCGAGCUGAGGAGGCAUUUCUUCCAACGAAGAUGUCUCUGAAUUGUUGAGAUGACGCAAAUUAACUAGGUUCCUCAUGCUUGUGGGCAGUGCCUUCAACUGGUGACAACUUUCCAAUAACAAUGUCUGCAAGUUGUACAGAGUUGUUGUCGAGUCUGGCAAACUUCUUAUCCCAGUGUGGGAGAGAUCAAGAUACCGUAGAUGCUUCAAUUCACCAAUUGUAUCUGGCAACUCGAUUAUUUCAUAACUUUUCAAAGAGAGGAGUCGUAAGUAUUGGAGUUUGGGCAAUAAAUCAGAAGUAACCUUCUGAGCCAGAUAAUGAUCAUAUGAAGGUGAAAGUGGUAAGAACGUUCGCAAAGAUGUAGCUUCAGAAUAGACCUCGAACUUCUUAACCCCAUCAUACUUUCCAAGAAUGUAAGACGAAUGACGAACCUUGGGCAAACAUGUACGUUGCUGCGAGUCAUAAUUCUGCAUAUCCUCCAAUCUACAACAUGAACUUCCUGCAGCCCAACGUGCCAAAUCAGUAACCAGGUCAUGCAUUAUGUAUCGCGACUCUGUUUUGCUUGAUUUUUGAAAUAAUGAUCUAGACACCAACUCUUGAAAAUAGUCACGUCCCAAAUCUUCCAUUUGCUUAUGUUCUUUGGGUUGCUGCGGAAUCAAACCUUCCGCCAUCCACCAAAGGAUCAAUUGCAUCUCCUCAAAUUCAUAAUCAUUCGGAAGUAUUCCACAGUAGGAGAAACACCGUUUCAAAGUUGAAGGGAGAUAAUGAUAGCUCAGUUUUAAUGCUGGACGGAUAUCCUCCAUCUUGUUCUGGUCUGAGUCUGAUAGUGUCCACAUCUUGUGGUCUAAUAUGUCUUCCCAUUCCUCUAGUCUUUUCCAACGUAAAAGCCCACCAAGUGUCCUUGCAGCUAACGGUAACCCAUUGCAUUUUUCUACAAUUUUCUCUUUAAGGAACUCAACAUCUUCGGGUCUGUUUUUUAACUGUGCAUGGUGCUGAAAGAGUUCCCAACAUUUAUCUGUUGACAUCGGGUUCAAGUUAUAAGGGCUCCUAUCUCCCAUCAUAUUUGCGACAUUGGCGUCACGUGUUGUCACGAUGAUCUUACUUCCAGCUGCUCCAACACGAAAGGAGGCCUGCAGUGUAGUCCAUUGACCAUAGCUACAAGUGUGCCAGACAUCAUCAAGAACAAUUAAAAACUUCUUGCCAGCCAAUUCCUUACUCAACUUCUCCAGAAUUGAGUUAAGCUCCUUCAAUUCCUGAACUGGAGAGGACGUGACUGAUUCCAAAACGGCUGCUGCCACCCUUACAAUGUCAAAGUCGUCUGACACAGAUACCCAUCCUUUUGGGGAAAACUGGCCAGUUGCAGCAUCGUUGAAUACAUGUUUAGCAAGUGUUGUCUUUCCUAGUCCUCCAGUACCGACAAUACCAACCACAUGAUAAUUCUCUUGUUUUGAAAGCAAAUCAUAGAGAAUCUUAGCCUUUGCUUCAUCCCUUCCCAUCACAGGUCCAUCAAGUUGAUAAGUAGUGGGUGGCAUUUUCCAUGGCUUUUUAGACACUCCAAGUUUCUUCAAACCAAGCUGCUUCUCUCGAGUGGUUAUCUCCUCAAGUCGAUCACUUAUCUUCUUGAUUGCUGAGUUCAGACCAAAAUUGGACUUAACUUUAGAGAGUGAGCUCCAUAACUUGCUUUUGCUUCCUUGUUGUCUUUCUAUCCUCCGCUUCAGCAUUUUAGUAUCAAAUAUGUCCAAUACAUCUUGAAGAUCGUAAGACAAAUCUACUGAGAUCAUCCAGCCACUCUUUACUGCUCUUCGUGUUAGUUGCUUCUCCUCAGCAUCACUCAGCACCGCUUCAAUGGCCCUCAACGUUCUAGUCCAUUUCUCCAGCACCUUUUUGUCGACCCCCUUAAGGCGUCCGAAGUACUCAGUGAUCUCUUGAUCCGCCAACUUCUCAAGCAGCACCGGGAGGAAUGCACCAAGAACAGCCUCCCCCAUCGUUUCUUUUUUGUACAAUCGAUGUAUUCAAAACUGCAGAAAGUGAAGCUAGUAGUUAAUUAAGGUACAAUUAUAGUUGAUGCAUGCAUGCUAGAAAAUAAUUUAAACAAUGAAAUGGGUGUUAAAUCUGAUUCGUUUCCCUUAAUUUGCAAGAUCGGAAAACAUGCACUUACAUGAAAAGUUGAUUAUUUCUUCUGUGAGAUCACAACUAAAACACUUGCAACGUUAAUUCUUGCACAAGGUGAUCGGCCAAGUCUCUGAGAUCAUGAUCAUGACAGACUUUCUUGUUGCAGAUCGAUCUGAUUCCAGCUAUACUGCACAAAUUAGUAAGCGGAUCCAGUUUAAUUAGUUCAUAAUGAUAAUCCAACAUGAAUAUAACUGAUUAACAAAAUGAAAUUAGUAACGGAUUCAAGAAGAGCUAGCUUACAUGGAUCAAAGGAUAUCUGAGUCCAAAAUCAAGAAGCCCUUUCUUCUUUAGAUGAAUAAUGCAUACAGUGCGGUGUGUAUAGAUCAAGUAUGAAUGGAUAGAAGCUCCUCUGGCGAAAAGUCUAGAUAUGAAAGCCACUUGCACUUUCCUAAAAGUCGAUGAAACAAAGGUGAGCCACACAACAGGAACGACGAGAAAAGGCAAUGGAACACAAAGGUUUCACCCUGCCGACGCCGAAGUUACUAAUGUUUGUGUUCUACUGUGACUGUUGAUACUUGCUGUACAUGCAUCUAAUGUUUUCAUCUGUUUUUUCUGUUUUUUUGUUCUACUGGAUAGGGUAAAACUAUUUUUUUGUUCUACUUGUUAUAGAACAGACGACGACUAUGUUUUGUGAGACUAAUUACGCUUAUGGUACCAAUUCAUCAACGAAGAUGCGUUUUUGGCAAUAAAACAUAUUUGGACCACCGUUUUUUGGUGAAUUUGAAUAAUAUUAUUGGAUAGUCUUCACAGAGAUGGGCUCAUGGGCAAUAUCAUUCAAAACCAUACAAUUAUUCGAAAAUUUGAAAUACAAAUUCGACGCUCUACAAUAUAUGCAGGUUGAGCACAGGGCUCAAAACAGGCACAACAUUGGAAUGCCACCACCAUGGAACUACUCAAUCGUCAAGAGAGUUUUACAUAUACAUUUGUACCUAAAUGAGAGCUGGGAAUUGGUUGCAGAACCAACUAGCACAUGUAGUAGACAAACAAGAAGUUUCUCAUACAUACGUUGAAGAUAGAUAAGCCCUCACAAGAAAGGAUCAUUCACCAUGAUAAAGUAAAACAUCUGAACCAAAAGAGAAAAGUUCAACAAAUUAGAACAAGUUAUACUUGAUAUGAUAGCAAAGAAGCGACUUGUGUUCAACGCAAAGCUACAAUUGAAAUGAGCAUGGAAACAUGGAAAGAAAACAGUAGAAAUGGCCAUUUAGUAAAGGGAUUGGAGACGUACCAGCAUCACUUGUUUUGUUUAGCAACGGUCCUUUGAACAGUUGAAACUCCAUCCACAAACUUUGUCCGGAAAAGGACAUUAGCAUUAUUGAACAUGCCUUCUUUCAGUGAAACCACAAUGAACUGAAAAAAAUGUGAUAAACAAGAAAAUGGGUAAGUAGAUGUCGCAUAUUAUCUUUAUAAGUUAUGCCGCAAUCUGCUCUUUUGUAGAAUGAGGUUUGAAUUACAAACUCCAGAAUACCAGACUCUACAAACAGCCAAGGGACGACGAUCAGUCAAAGAGCAGUGAAUAUACCAGAUCACAACUAUGCCUAAAACGCUUUCUGAACUUUUUGGGAUUUGUAAAAGUCAGAUAGCAUUACUUAUUUACUUGCACAAUGAAGGAAAAGAAGUUGUAUGGAUUACUGGAGGAGAAGAUGGCACAUGUCAGAAGAAGAUUCCAGCUAGGUAAAAUGUAAAUAACCAGAUGGCAGAAUCCACCGACCUGGGAGUGUGGGAAAUGACUUUUGAUCAUUCUUCCAAUAUUCUGGGUGUGACUUAGAUCAAGAGCUGCAUCAACCUGCAAGUGAAUAACAAGAUGCUGAAAACUGUUUCAUCUUAACAACCAGAGAUCAAUACAAUAUAAUGCAACCCACAUUAAAGCUUUGCAGAGUCUACAGAUGCUACAAGUAUCCCACUAGAUUACUCCAAAAAGAAAAAAAAGUAAAACUUUGAAUGACAACUUCCACAGGUGGAGUAGCGAUGUCAAACAAAGAAACGACACAAAAAAAAAGAAGCUAAAACCCAGGUAAAUAAGAAACGAGCCGUCCAUUAAACACAUAGGAACAACAGAGCACCAAUGUUGUAGAAAUGUUUUGGUAGAGAAUCCACAGCAGAAUCUUAUAGUUUAGAAUUUCUAAACCCAAAUUGCACCCAGUUCAGUGAAAAAAGUCAAUAAACCCUAAAAGAAAAGUUAAGCAUACCUCAUCCAGUAUAUACAGAGGAGCUGGUUUGAAGAGAAGCAAUGCCAAGAUCAGAGAAAGUGCCAGCAGGGAUCGCUGACCUCCACUCAGUUCUGACAAAGACUGUUUCCAAUCACCCCCAAAUGCAACACACACCUCAAGGCCAUCUAGGAAACUACACCCUUCAGGAGGUUCAAGCUUUCCCAUUGUGCCGGGUAAAAGGGUAGAAAAGAUAGACCGUAAGUCUCUGAAGGAAGAAUUUUUUUAUCAGUUUCAGUUUGGAGUCAAAAAUAAAUAGCAUUGGAAGUAUAGAGAAGUUGCUGAAAAUCACAAAGUCAACUGAGAAUGACUCACUUGUUAACUUUGACCCAAGUAACAUUCAAUGUUUCCUUCUUUUUCUCAUCCAGCUCUUCAAUCACCAUCUUGAUCUUAGACUUGUCAUUCUAAGAAGGAAUUCUAGAAGUAAAAGAAAAGGAAAACAGCUCACAGACAGAUCAAGGUUCACCAACCUCAAUGAUGUUCUUCUUAGACAUUAGGUCAUUGUACUCGUCUUCUGCUUUCUCAAACAUUGCCAUAACUUUCUUAUUCACCCUUUUCUCAAGGCUACAAAAGGUAUAAAAAAAAAGUCAUCUCUCAGCCUCAUGGAAGGAACUAAUAACAAACUUCACAACAUAUCAAUUACGGAGGGAGCAUCUUAGUUAAACAACUCCCGUGCAGUUUAUUUUCCAUAACAACGUUAUGUAAAUUGGAUUUAAAACCAUAAGACUUCAUGAAAUUCAUAACUAAGUUUAUUUUAUGUUUGUUUUAUAUAUAAGGAUGGCGAACAUAGAAAUUCUUUUACGAAUUACAUUUAUAAUAGUAUGAGAUCCAAAAUUCGAUAGGUGAUUUAAGCAGGCCAGCCAAAUGAUUCACAAGAACCACUAUCUAACAACAAACUUCAUCAAACAAGUUGUUUCAGAUAAAGGAAGCUCAAUCAGACCAAAAAGAAAAAAAAAACUCAAUUAGAUGCCACGGACGAUAGUUCAAUUAAAUCUCAGCAAUAAUAAAACAUACCUUGAGAUCCUUUGAAGCUGACUGGAGUAGAGCUUUUGUCUCUUUGAUCUUCUUUUCCAAAUCUUUCAGCCUUCCCUCCCGACUGUUGUCGUGCUCUUUGAUUGAUUUCUCAAGAAAUGACACUUUAUUCACACAAUCUUCAUGCAAAAGUUUCUUUUCUUUGGCUGCAGUAUUAGCUUCUUGUAGCUCUUGCUCAAUCCUCUUUACUAAUUCACCAAGCUAGAUAGCAGAAUAAAAAAUUAGGAAAAAUUCCCAUCUGCCCUAAUUUUAAAAAAAAAUUUCCCGCUAAUAAAAUAAGAAUCUAAAAUUCCCACUAACCAUAACACUUCUAAUGAUUUAUUCCCUCUAACAAAAUUUUCAGCUUUUCUAUUAUUUUUAUUGACAAAACUGACCUCCCCUCCAUUCUCUCAUCUCUCUCUCUCCCCCCCUCCCCACCGUGCUUGUGCUUCGCCAGAGCCUUCUUCCCGGUGCGAAUUCACUACAACGCCGCCUCUACCGGCUCUCCCUCCAUAUCUCCUCCACCGCCACCACCUCUCAACAGCUCCUCCCUCCACUCUCCAACCAUCGCCGUCAAACAUAUCGAAAUCACCACUCUCGAAAAUCUCUGUGUGGAGAUCGUCUUCAAAGUUGAUCACCUAACGCCGGUAUGGAUCUAACGACAGUGGUGGAUCUGACGACGUCGAGAUCUGAUCGUGCUCCGAUCCGCUCCGCCGUUGUCACCGUCUCUUGCCGUAAAUCUCAGAUCCUUCCAGGCAUGGACUUCUGAUUGAAAACGCUCUUAACGAGGUGAGUAGAGAGUGAGGUGAAUUGGUUUUCAGUGCCACUUCGAUUCUGUGUUUGAGAAAAUGUGAUGGAAUUGUUAAAUCUUGUGGUUUAGUAGUAUUUUCGGCCUGAAAUGAGGGUUAGAUUUUCAAUUUUGAGUGGUGGAUUAGUGUAGAACGGAUCGGUUAUUGUUUGUAGGGAUAUUGUUUGAAGCAUGUUUAGGUUAGAUCAACCUGAAAUGGUAGAUUUUUGUGACUGGAAAUGGUUGUGACGGAGGGAUGCUCUUCAUGGAGGAGUCUGGGUGGUGGGUUCACUGCUCCAAUUUGAAGAACGACCAUUAUUUUUGGGGUUGUUGAACUUGAAGCAUUUAUGGAAGAGGGUCGUUUAUGCAUCAAAAAGAGAUCAUGGAUCUCUCACAUGGGAGUCGUAUUUGUAGUAUUUAUUGAUGGAUUUCUUAGGGAAAAUGGAGGAUUUCAUUUCAUGCAUAUAUAAUAUAUGGCACUAUGGCAGAUAACCACCAAGACACUAAGCGUGGAAUAUUGCUUUAUGGUCUUUGAGCCUUUGUCUAUGUAGACACAGACUUCUAAUUCACCAUUUGUCCUAGUAUUUUAGGGUAUAUGCAUGUAUGGUGUAACAUGCAAGUUUUGUUUUACUUUGUUUAAGACCAUAAUAGUUGAUUUUUAGUACACGACUUCAAGAAUACAUGAAUUAUUCUUUGCAUAGUUGAAUGUAUUAUAUAUUGAUUGUGAUAGUAGUUUAUAAAUUGCGAUAGAUCGACUUCCUAUUGUCUUUAUACAUGGCGAUAGACUUCCAAUUGUCUCUAGUAGACUAUGUACUACCCCCAAUAGGAGGUCCUAUUGCCCCCAAUAGGUGGUCCUAUUGCCCCCAAUAGGUGGUCCUAUUACCCCCACUAUGAGAUCCUACUGACCCUAGUAGGAGGUCAUACUGACCCAAUAGGUGGUCCUACUGCCCCCAUUAGGAGGUCUUACUGCCCCUAGUAGACCCUAGACGAACCCCCUACUGCUCCUAAUAGACCCCCGAAGAACCCCCUACUGCCCCUAAUAGACCCCCCGAUGAACCCCCUACUACCCCCAGUAGGAGGUCCUAAUGACCCCAAUAGAUGGUCCUACUGCCCCAGUAGGAGGUCCUAGUGGAGGAAUAUUAUGUUCUUUAUGUAUGUCCUAUUGUCCUUUAAUUAGGGUGUGAAGAGUCACUUGUUUUGGUGUAGAUUUGGAUAGAAGUUAUCUUCUCAGUCUUACAUCUUAUAGAAUAUUAUAGACUUCACUUCUUCCAUUUCAAAACUUUUCUUAAUACAUGUAUACCUUAUAUCUUAAGUUUAAGGAUCCUACUGCCCCCAGUAGGAAGUCAUACUGCCACUACUAACCUACUGACCCUAGUAAGAGGUCCUACUGAUCCUAGUAGGACCAGUAAGAGGUCAUAUUGCCCUAAGUAGGAUGUUGUAUUGCCCCCAAUAGGAGGUCUUACUACCCCAAUAGGUGGUCAUACUGCCCUCAGUAGGAGGUCCUAAUGACCCUAAUAGGUGGCCAUAUUGCCCCCAAUAGGGACAUAUUAUAAGUGACUAAAGCACAACGACCCCUGGAGUCCGGUCAACGGUCGUCGGAGCCCGGUCAACCACCCUCGGAACCUAGUCAAUGGUCCCCGAAGCCCGGUCAACGGUCCUCAGAGUCUGAUCAAAAAUUGUCGGAGUCCCGUCAACAUCAUUGGUCGUGGGAAUCCGGUUAUAAAAACUUUAUUUUAUAAUAGACUAUUAUAAUGGUCUAUUGUAGUUUAUUUAAUUCAUUAAGGGUAUAAUUAUCUUUUUGUUCUUAUAAUGGUCUAUUGUAGUUUAUUUAAUUCAUUAAGGGUAUAAUUAUCUUUCUGCUCUUAUAAUGGUCUAUUGUAGUUUAUUUAAUUCAUUAAGGGUAUAUUUGUCUUUCAGCUAUUUAAGUUGACUCUUGGGAAUUUUAAAAUCUGAUUUUGUUAGUGGGAAUAAAAUUCUUAAAAUUAGGGCUAGUGGACAUUGUCCAAAAAAAUUAAGAUUCAUGUCAUAAAUCCAGUAAACACAGUCCGCAGCAUAGUUCUGAACUGAAUAUGCUAAAAGAGAAAAGAAAUGUGACAAAACCUUAUGAUGCUCAUUUUGUUCAGCCCUGCCCUGAAAUAAUUUAAGGUCAUAUGAUUUGAGUUCUAACUAUUGUUUAAGCUCCAUGAACUUCUUGUGAAGAGGCUGAAUUUCUCUUAUCUGCAAAUAGAAAUACAUUAAUGAAAUUGCUAUGGAAAUGAAGUUCCCAAUGACAUAUAAAACAGCCACACUAUGAUUUUUCAAUUGCAUAUAGUGUAAUAUGGAAUUUCAGUAUCGUAUUGAGAGAAAAUAAGAUUUCAUAGGCAACCUUAGCUUCAAUCUCAGUCAACUUUUUCUGAUGCUCAGAGAGUUUUAGCUCAGCUUCAGCCAGCUCAUGACGCUGCCUUAACAGAUCACCCCCACCCCUGUGACAGGAAAUUAUUGCUUUAGAAGGAAAACUAGCUAGAUGUAUAUGUACUUUGAAUUGAUAAAUGAUAAGGACAACACAAGUACGGAAAAUUAGUCAGAGAAAUCUAACAACAGAUAUAUUCUAGACGAAGGGAGAUAAAGCAUGAAAUCUGAACUGGAGGAAAAAGAACAGUGGCAUACUUGCGGCUUCCACCAGUCAAAAGACCACUGGGCUGAAAGAUAUCACCUUCAAGAGUGACACUAGGGGUACGAACUUCCCUGUUAAAAGCAACCUAGGAAACAUUCAUAGAGAAUCAGAUUGGGUCAUGCCGCUUUCCAGUUUAGAAUACAAGUGUUUAAAAGGACAAUACUAUAUAAUCAGCCAACAGCACGAUCAAAUCCACCUCUCACCUCCUUUGCAGCAUCAAUAGUCUUGCACACAAAGGUUGAACCGAAGACAUAUUCCAUAGCACUCUGCAGUAAACAUUAAAUGGUAGGUAAAGUGAGCAAUUAUCAUAUUCCGGAGGUCUGUAAUUUGUUUAUGAUCGAAAGAUACCCUCAGGUGCUCAUCAUAGCCAACCAAAGAAAGUGCAAGUUCUGCGUUUUCUCUGCCAACCUGAUCAUAGAAAUCAAGGUUAUUAGUAUAAUAAGCCACACCAUUGGGAGGAAAGAAAAGCCUAAAACGAGGUCGGGGCAGGACAAACUAUUGGCAAAAGAAACUAACCAAUUUAGCAGCAGCAUUUUGAACCCUAGGAGGAACUGUGUGAGCUUGAAUUUUGUUCAAGGGUAUGAUUGUUACUCUUCUUCGAAGAUUGCCAUUCUGAAGAAGUUGUUUUCCAGUACUUUCUGUGUCUACGACAACAUUAAACAACUUUCCACCAGCAGUGACCUAGAAAUCGAAGGUAUGCAAGUUAAUACACAUUCUAUAAGUCAUGAGAUGAAAUCAUUUGUGAUAAAUGCAUUUUCACCUCUAAGGCAGUCAUGGUGGAGCUAUCCUUCACUUUGAUAAGUUUUGCAACUACACCCUUGACCUUAGACCUAACAAAAUUGUUCACAGGAUCUCUAUAAGAAAAGUCAACAUUUCCAAAGUGUACUGAAAGAUUACGCAUUUAAUCCUUCAACUUCUGCACACACUCCAACUCAGAUGAUCGGUCCUGAAUAGAAUAUUCAUUUAGAGAAGGAUCCAAAUUAAGAGUUAUAAACUGUCUAGAUGUAAAAAGAAUGAUCAAACAGACAGCAUGUUAACCUUUUGCAAAGCUUCCAUCUGGCCCUCCUUAUAUGGAAGAGACUCCAGUGCCAAUUUAACAUUUUCAACAUCUGUUUUCCUAGCCUUCAGCUCACUCUCUACAGCAACAGCUUCUUCACGCUUUGACAUUAGUUGAGAACUUUUCUCUUUCAACUCCUUUUCACAGUGACGAAUUUUUGUUUUCAACUGUUCCAGUUCUGUUUCAGCACUCCCUACAGCUCUUUUGGCAUCACCCAAUUGAUAUUCGAGGCAUUUAUCCUCAUUUCCACUACUCUUGCCAGCGAUUACACCCUGGAAACAUUAAUGAAUCAAAAAUCAUAGUGAUUCCAAGAGUAACUCGCACACCAUGCAAGCCUAACAUGUGACUUAGAUGAACAAGGUAUAGGCAACACAUAGAUACACUAUCUACCUGGUACUGAGUCUCAUACUCAUUCAGACUAUGAGAAAGUUCCUCCGCUCUCUUUUUCAAAUCAGCAGCUCCUUCUUCGGCAUUUCUUAUAGCACAGUCCCUAUCUUUUAGAGAUUGUUUCAUGUCUUCAAUGUUGCUAGCGAUCUGACAACAGAGAGAGGCAAAUUCUAUGUUACCAUAACCAUUUCAGACAAAGCAUGUAGCAAAUGAUUACAUAACAGACUUGAAAGAGCUUGGUGUCAUACAAAAGAAAGCAGUAAGUAAUACAAUAUAUCAAUUACCAUUCUAGCAUUAUCAUUUUCAGUAUCAAGAUUGUCCUUCAUAUUAUCCAGUAUAGACACUUCCCUCACUACAUCUUGAGAAAGCGCAUCUACUUGGUUAGACAGAUUUUUCACUUCUCCACCCAUACUAGCCUCCUUUUCAGCAGUCAACUUGGACACUUGUGUUUCCAUUUCCUUUAUUGUUGCCUGCAUCUUUCUGGUAUCAUCAUCAACCUCAGAAAUUGGCCUUCACUUGUUCCACCUCAUAAACUGCACUGUCCCUUAUCCUCUCCGCUUGAACAUAUUCAUAAGCAAUGCAAAACCUCUUGAGCCGAUCCAAGUCAGCAUUGCCAUUAGCCCAUUGCAUAUACUGUGUCCUUUCUCUCCUCAACUUGUCCAAUGCAGGCAGUAUCUCAUGGUCCAGAAGCUUAUUUAUCUCAUCAACUUUACUCUGCUUCUUCUCAAGUGUCUUAAGAGCCGCUUCCUUUUUGGUCUCAUACAUUCUCGUCCCGGCAGCCUCUUCAAGCAUAGACAAAAUCUCGGGCGGUUUCAUAUUCAAAACCUUGGUAAUUCGGCCUAGCAUAAUCAAAAAAUGUGGAUUAUUCACAUUGAGCUGCACCGAAUGAAAAAGAUUCUGGACCUGACUCGGCUGCGCAAGUUUCCCGUUGAUCAAGUACUUGUUCCUCCCACCAACCACAAUCUGAUAUAGCAACACCAACGAAUUCGUAUCACACACUCAAUAAUCAGAUUCAUUGAUAGAUUCCGGUUGCAAUCAGAAGCGUUACAACCACUCCACUAAUACAGCAACUUAUAACUAAAUUCAACCUAAGAAAUAGUGAUAAAUUAAGCAAGAAACCCUAAAUCUCAACUACUUAUCGGCUUAACUAAACUCCGGUUGCGAUUAAUCUAACUUCUCGUAACAUCACUACAAUUAAUUACUUAAAUUCAACUUCAAAACAGUAAGAAACCCCCAAAUUCAACAUCAAAAACGACAUCAAAAUCUCACAAACGACACACCUGCCGCGUGACCGUGAGUUCCGAAUGGGCCUCAUACCCGAGGGGACUGCGCGCCCGGUCCGAAUUAUCGAAGACAAUCGACACAGUGGCCUUAGUAAUUCCUGCCUGGCCUUGCUUACACACCAGCUCCUGCAGAUUGGCGGCCCUCACUUGCUGUAAGUUGGUGAUGCCCAGAACGAAGCAAAUGGAAUCGAGAAUGUUGGACUUACCCGACCCGUUUAGCCGGUUAUGGCGUUGAAAAACGGGUCGAAUCCCGGCACCACCUGAUAUUUUACUCACUUAGUCAUGUGCCGCGCACGUGACCAGCCAAAUAGGUCUAUAUAUACUCCUCUCCUUUGAGAGCUUUUGCUCAGUUUCUGGGGCGAGGAUUUGUUUCUCCUUGCAAUGAGCCGUGCACUGGAAAACACUUUAGCGUUGCUUCAAUCCAAGAUGCAAAGUGUAUUGACAACACCACCACCGGGCCGCUACCAGCAGCGACCAUUGGAGCAGUCAUCAACUCCAAUUUCUGAUCCUAAAACUCAAAUUGAGAUUGUUCACUCUCAUCUCUGGAAGGCUCGAAGCAAGCAAGUCGCUCUCAAGUCGACUGCGGUCACCGGAGGAGUGAAGAAUAGACACCGAUCUAGGCUGGGAACCUACGAGUCCCUUACGACUGACACACACCCGAAGCGCAAGGUCUCUUUUCUACGCCUUGUGGCUGAAAUAGCUCAAGAUGUCAAGGUUGAUUGGAGGUCCCAGAGCUUAGUUAUGCCUUCUCUGCUAGGCAGCACUGUGUCGACUCAAGUGAACAACACUCAUGCAUCAUUUUGUUCAGUAAGCAAUACUGGAACUCUCAGUUUCGUGAAUAAUGGUUGUGGGUGCUGUUGAUUCUGUGUUUGUUGGGUCAAUUCCUGUUGGUGUUAGUGUUAGGCAUGAUAAUCAGGGACCAAAUUCGGGUGAGAAGGUGAGAGAAUGUCAUGCACUCCACCUGUUUGAUGAAAUGCUGCAUUCAAAUGAGUUGGGUAAUGUAGGAAGGACUGUUGCAGCUCUUACGAGUAUUCGAGAUAAAAGGUGGGGGACUUGCUCACCAACCUUUAGAAUAUGCACUUGGGGUGAAUCGUGCAAAAGAGAAUGAAGGUGUUGACAUGAAGGCUAAUCAACUUGAGGAUGGCAAUGCUAUAUCGGAGAUAGGUUUUAGCUCUCAACUUAUUCAAAGCAAUGAAUCACUUAAGAUUGUUUCCAGGGCAGAGGUUCCAAUUGAUGGGAUUGUAAUUACUGGUCAAAGCCAUGUGAAUGGGAGUAUGACCACACAUGAGGCAAGGGCCAUUUGUGAAAGAUUUGGUUACAGGAUAAUUGGUGGCACCAUGAGUGAUGGAUGCUUACAGGUUAAGGCAAUCCGUCUUUUUGAGGUUGAUAAAGAAAUUGAUGAAAAUGUGGGAUUAAGUCAGCCUCGAGUGAAGGGAGAGAUCAAAAUGAAAAUGAUGUUAAACAGGAUUUGAAGAUUUUCCAGUCAAGCUAUUUUAGUGGAGGCAUUGUAGUUUUUUCGAAUAUUCAUGAGCUGGAAAAUUAUUUUCAACUGGAUGCCUACAACAGCAAGUCCUUUUUAGGUCUUACGCCCCCUUGAAAGAGUUAUUAAACAGGUGUUGUGGAAGUGUGAAGGGUGAAUGGGAUAACUUACUUGCUGGUGGUUCAUCUGUUACAUUGCUCACCAAGGAUAUAUGUAAUGUUCUGUGGGUGAGUUCUGAUGCGCUAAAGCUAAUCCAAUAUGGGUUGAAAACUGCAGUUGUUUUUGUGAUGGAUAAACCACCUGAUAUUACGAGCGAAUUCUAAAAGGGUACUGGAGUUAAUAUUGGAGAAGUGGAAAUCAAGAGGUACUGUCGAAACAAUUAUUGGCUUGCAGUGUUGCUGUUGUGAGGCAGAGGAGAUUCUACUCUUUUGCAGGGAAGUGUUCAACGUAAUUGGUGAAAUGACUCAAACCACCUCAUUGUCCCAGGUAUCCGCUAUAAAUUUUCAAGAUGAUAGAAGAGAUUUUGUGAGUUUCUUGUGUGACAUGAUUAAGCUCUAUGUCGUGAUCUUUAGUGCUUUUAUUGAUAAUGCUGGAAGUUUGCUUCAUGCUGAUAUAUUCGAGAUAAAUGGAUCUAUUGCUAGCUCUCUUGUUGAUAUGUAUGCCCACUGUGGAGUAGAUAUAGAAGAGACUGUUUUUCACUUGAUGAUAUCCAGGGGUUUAGGGAAUAUGGGUCAGAUUAUUAGUUCAGUGGCUGACUCCUCAAAUAAGAACUCAUUUUCUGUUGAGGUUGUUGGGGUUUUUGCUUGGGAUGGUGAUCCAGGGUCUUCACACAUCAAAAGGGCCAAGGCUGAGAUGUCAACUAUUUGUGUUUUGGACUAUGAGAAUGGGUUUAGUGCAACAGAAGUGCCCCAGUUUGGCGGAAUUGAUUUUGGCCAAGGGUUUUCAAGUGAUGAAAUGCAUAAGUCUGGAUUCAUGUUAUAUGGGUUGGGGUCAAUGAAGAAUUUUGCUACUCCACAUGAAGUUAUUGCUGUCUCUUGGAAUGUUAAUUUGCUGGCAGCAUAUGUCAAGUCUGGAUGUAUAUAGUGGCCAUCAAUUGGGGCUGAUAACACAUAUGUCAUCUCAUUCUCAAAUGUGACUUCAUGGAAUCACAUAUUCUGUUGCUAUUUCCAGAAUGAGAUCAACAUGGAGGUAAAACAUAUAAUUAAUAGCAUACAAGAAGUUGUUGUUUGCUGGAACUAUAUGAUAGCAGGGAAUUCACUCAAUAUCAACAUGAGGUGAUUACCAUGCAAAUUUCCUAUGCUACUAUACUGCUGAGUUGCUGUGCAAAGCUUGCUUAUUCAUCUCCAGGGAAACAUGUUCAUGUCUGGUUACAUUUAACAAAAUUUGGAUAUGUGAAUGAUGCAUGCCUUAGUUGAGUUUCAUGAUCAAAUGUCCCCACGAUACAAGUCAAAGAUAAUGAAGUAUCUCAGAGAGCAUCUGAAAUCAUCAAGUGAGCUCUUACUUUCUCCUCGUGUGAUUCAACUCUCUUUGGUGGAAUCUACUUAUCAAAGUAAAUUGGUGAUGACUUUAUCCACUAGUUUAUUGGAUGAGCUUUACAACACAGGAAUUGGAUUCAGCCAUAGUGCAACAUCCAUGCUAGCAAUUGGAAAUGGUUCUAUGCUUGUGCUAUUGCAACUGGUUUGGUUGAUGUUAGAAAAACUUUUCAAGUGUGAGCACAAGGAAAAUGUAUUUACCAGUUUCGAGCUACUGUUGACUAACCAAUUUAUCAUAAAGGCUCUUGGGUUCCAGCAAAAGCUCUUUAUUCUUAUUGGUCUACUAGUGACAGAGAGUUUACCUUAUGAUCUAAUCGUGAUAUGGGGUGAUGAAUGGUUUUUGUCAGGAAAACACUAUUGUUUUCUUGGAUAUGUGAAUGAGGUGAACAACUGUUCAUUCAGGUUGCUUGACAAGCUCAAGGCUGAGCGUAAGUGUAAUAAAACCAUUGAUAUCACGCUGUGGAAUUUUGAGACCACCAAGUACUACACUGACUUGUUGCUCCCAGACAUCCUGAUUUCAUCAAGGACAUGAUUACUAGUACUUCCAAGGCUGAUAAUGCUAUCCUCAUCAUUGACUCCACCACUGGGGGUUUGGAAGCUGAUAUCUCGAAGGAUGGGUUAGCCUGCGAGUACACUCUGUUCACUUUCACUCUUGGUGACAAGCAGAUGAUCUAUUGCUGCAACAAGACUUCAUGGGAUGCCAUACUCUCUUGCAGGUGGUUAUUUGAGCUCCAAUUAUCCAGCAGGGUACUUCUCUUAUGCUCAUAUGAUUCUUUCCAAAUACACAUCAUGGAACCGUUGCUGCAACAUGCUUCAGUUUUUUCCUGAUAACUUGUGGGGCGGUAUUUGAAGAUCUAUAUUUUUGGGUGCUGUGUAGUCUAGACUAUAGUUGGUUAAAUUGCAAUGUCUCUUUGAUAAUUGAAACUUGAGGUCAAGUUUGUUAAAGGGGUAUGGAUUGUCAUGAUAUUUUACUCAUUUAGUCAUGUUAUGAUGUUUUUGGGUGCUGUUUAGUCUAGACUAUAGUUGGUUAAAUUGCAAUGUCUCCUUGAUAAUUGAAACUUGAGGUCAAGUUUGAGAGCUUUUGUUCACUGUCAAUGAAAAUAUCAGCAUUUUAAUUUCUUUCAUUUCUGCAUUUCUUUGCUUUUCUCUCUAGUUAGGGCUAAUACCCUAACACCACCAUCCGCGUCGCGUAGGACUUGAAUCCUUCCAAGGUCACCUCCUUGAUGUACAUAGCUGCGCUCACCGGAGAGAUGCGGGCGCUAAUCGGUGGCCGAUUUUGGAGAGAUUUAGGGUCGGUGGUUGGAUCGAAACCCUAGAAAUUUGAGCUUCUGGUUUUUGGUUUUGGGAACUUGAAAGUCUAAAAUGAAAUGGUUCGAAUUUCUUUUUGUUGUUUUCCGCUUUUUUGGGUGGGUUCGAAUUUUUAACCCUAGACAAAGGCGGGAAAAGACAGAUAUAUUUGGGCUUUAUCUAACAGUGUAUGAGCUUUAAACUCAUGAACGAUGUUGUUUUGUAACGCAGGAUUUCGAUUUUAAAUUCGCAGUUUUCCCAGUUUGAAAACUCAUUAAAAACGAUCGGGUGAAGAUUUUUCAAGUUCGUCUUAAAGAUCAUGAUUUACCGAUAUAAAGAAUUUGGUGAACAUGUAAGAAUAUGAGAUUUUUGUCAAAAAAAAAACGUGUGCUACAAUCCACAAUACAAUUUCAUAUGGAUAUCAUGAUUUCGAACAAUUUCUUGUUUUCUUAGAAAAAUCUCUGCAGUUGGUUCCUAUUGUAAAACUGGUGUUUAACUGAAGCAAUUUCUACGAUAUAGAAGAGUCAAAACUUCUUUUUCUUAGACAGACUGGUUCAGUACAACAUGGUACACUCGGCAUUGUACAUGUUUCUAUAGUCUGUAUGUAUGAAUAUCUACUCACCUCAGUUUCUCUUUUACAACACUAAAUGACUGCAUAUUUCUCUACAUACACAAGAAUCAAUAAUGCCAUUUUGGUCUUUCUUCCUCUUCCUUUUCGGUCAACUCCCGGUACUGAUACCACACUGCUCCAGACUUACCCACUGGGAUUGGAGACCUAACAAAUAUUUCGACUAGCUUGGGAACAUGCACAGCUAAAUGCAGUUCCCUGCAGUUUUUUCUGCAUUUGAAUCAGAACUUCUUAAUAAUCUGCAAAUAGGUUCAAUACUAGUCCAACCUAAGCCUGAUAUAGCCGCAUCACAUGCUGGCCUGCAUACAAGGAAAAGAGAAGAAUUCUCAUAUUGAUUAACUAACUAACUUUAUGGAAAUAUCAGAAUUGCGAUACUCAUAUGGAUGAUUUACCUUUGCACAUCUUCAACUUUUAUUUGCAAUUGACGCUGAGAGUCGAGACCUCUCCAUUCAUCUGCUCUUUCUUUCCCAGUUGGAGGUGUCAGUAAGACUCCAACGUGUUUCUGCAACAUGGUAAAAGGCACAUUACAAUCACACCAAUCAAUUUAAAGAGAAAAAUAUCACGCACACCUUUAAGGCCGGAAUGGUAUCACAUUUUCGUAGUGUCAGUAACAUAAAAGGGUUCACUUUAAUUGCUUUCAAAAUAUUUUAAAUGCUUCAUAAGUCAGCUGUACUUGGGAAAUAAGAAACUAUGAAUCUCAAGUGGGACCUUGAUUACCUGGUAAAAUUCAUCAGCCUCAUCAGUUGGUACCAUAUGAAUCUGAAGACUCUUUGGCCCAUAAAAUGUUAAACAUGUCUCAGGGAGAACCUGAAAUUACCAAUAUUUGAUUACUCAGGAAACACCGUAUAUGCAUCAGCCAGAUAAAGAUCGUACCUGAAGCUACAAGGCCAAACCAAACCUUUAAGACAUCUACUCUGAGAAGACCUCCCCAGAAUAUUAAAUAGCCAUUCAAAUCAUUGGAAUUGCCUUGCCUUGUUGUUCCACUUCCAGAAACCUGAGAAUUCUGGAGGGAUAAGAAACAGUCAACAACUCAAAGAUACCAAAGGAAAAAACAAGAGAAAGAAAAACAAUUAACUUACAGGCAAAGAUUGACCCCUAAGCCGACUUUGAGGAGCAAGGGAAGGUAGGUCUUCUGAAUGAACCACAGCGGCUUGCCUAUGAUGGAGAUGAACUCCAGGUGUGUCGUAUAAUUUCUGCAGAUAACAGAAUGUUACUGUACUAAACUCUGAAAGGCAAUGGUAAUAUACAGAUGCUAUAGCAUACCCCUCCUCCUAGGAAAGCGUUGAGUUGAAUUGAACCCAGGGUCGUUCCAGGGACAGCAGACUGUAUUGGUUUGUACUUUUGCGCUGAUGCAGCAACUGGAUCCUUUUCCGCCAUCAGUUCUGGUAUAAUGGUAAUACAGUAUUAACAAAAGUCAGUUCAAAAGAAGAAUAACUCGUUUAGAAAAAUAAAUCCCGACAUUUAUCUUUGUGAACAGAAUUGCUAUGAACUUCAUAGCAACCAAAGGCAACAAAACAUAUCAGAUGUCAACUAAUGAACUUACUCAGUUAAGCACCGAUAAAAGCUGAUUUCCCAACAUUUGUGGAGCCCUGUAGCAAAAGGUAAGCUAAACUAUCAGAUGCAAAAGCAUUUUUUAUAGGUCAAUCCAAGUAUGCACCAGCUAGAGGAUAAUCGAUACAGAAGGCAAAGCAAGAUAUGACAACUCUUUUGUUUUACUUCCUUUUACAAGCAUACUCAAAUAGAAAUCAGCAACAUGACUUGACUGGGCAUGAAAGAUUUUCAUGGAUAAAAUACCAGUAAAAAAGCAUGUGCUGAUUCAAAAUCUUAUUGAAGUUCCAUACAGUCAACAGGUUAAAAUCUCAAAUGUGAUUGAGAAUCAAAUCAAAUUCAUAGCAGUUCACAAGAAACCACACACUCCAAGAGCAAGGAUAAGUAAAAAAAAUUCAGGUUCUGAGAAGUGUUAAAUUCACUUGACAAAACCAAAUACUCAGCACUAAGUAAGUAAACUUCCAGAGUUCCCAUCAAGAAGCUCACCAUAACAUACACGUCCCGCCCCUGCACCAAAAAAUAACCAAAGAACUCAGUUUGAAGUUCCUGUAAAUGAUAGAUAUUCAUACUUAUUUCAUUCAACAGGAAGUACAAAUUUACAAUGUAUAAACCUAUUUCCUCUGUUGGCUAUAAUUAAAUAACUUAUAUCAAUGGCUUUAGUCAGAUCAAUGAAUUUCACACAUGAAGAUGCACAUACACUGAGAAGUAAAUACUUUUUUUUCCAUUUGAAUCUCUGAUGCAACUCCAGCUACUCCAACCAAAGACUUUGAACUCAUCAGAUGAAUGCUCAUAACACUGCAAAUAAGCCUCAAGGACACUCUUUUAAAAAGACACCAUAUAAAAUAAGUAAAAGCAAAGGCUAAGGAAACAAAUCUUACUUAAGCUUCUUCUUUACAGUGGCCUCUACAACCCCAUCACCAAUGCAAUUAAAAUCAGUCCCCUUGGGAAGUAAAUCAAUCUGUCAUUCGAAAAGUGCAAUUAGAAAGCUGCGUGCAUCAAUGUCAUGUUACAUAAGUUACAUAAGUACAAAUGAGAAGCUUAAUACCUUAGUAAUGACUAAUAUUAUGGGAUUUGCACCGGCCAGAUCACGCAUACCUUAGUAAUGAUAAUGCUAUACACAUAAACUGAUAUCAAUGGCUUAAACAAUGAACUGGACACAAGCAUACACAUAACUAACAAGUGCAUACCUUCUUUUCCUUUUGAAUCUCUGAUGCAACUCCAGCUAGCUACUCCAACCGAGGACUUUGAACUCAUCAGAUGAACGCUUAUAACACUGCAAACAAGCACCAAGGGAAACUCAUUUGGAUGGAUAAUAUAUAAAUAAGUACAAGCAAAGGCCAACGAAACUAAUCUUACUUAAGCUUCUUCUUUACAGCGGCCUCCAGUCCACCGCAACUCAAUCACCAAUACAAAUUAAAUCAGUCCCCCAACCUGUCAUUAGAAAGUCCAAUUAGAAAACUGCAUGAAUCAAUGCCACAUUACAUAAGUACCAAUGAGCUGCUUAAUACCUUAGUAAUCACUAAUAUUAUCAGAUUCGCACCAGCCAAAAAGCUACCAUUGAAGUCCACAAUAUCAAGUUAUCAACCAACAUAACCAUCUGCCUAGUUCAAAAUUUAGUCAGUAGAUUAAGAAAUGAAUUCGGUGUUGAUAGGUAACUAAAUUUAAAACAGAGGAAAGUUUGACAAGCUUCAAUAUGUUCCUUCACUUUUCAAACAUAUUUGAUAAUAUUAUCAUCAGUGCGGAUGUUGUCUGAAAUUACAACUAUUUACCUGUAAAGGACUCUAUAACCCAUACACGAGCUGCCCAUCAAUAUGUAGAGGACAGUCCCAAAUAAAAAUUUCAAGUCGCUCAAGUGAAAGAGGCAGGCCUUCCUCCACUGGAAGAUUUGCAAGCUUGGGACAGCCGGAGAUGUAAAGAUGUUCAAGAGAGGUGAGGAGUUGAAAGCCUUUGAUUUGAAAGCUUUUGUGGAGGAAAAGGAUGUGAUCAACAGUUUUGAGCAUUAGGAGACCUGUAGAUGGAAGAAAUAAAACGUUAGAUGUGGAAAACAGAGGAAAGUUUGACAAGCUUCAACAUGUUCCCUCGCUUUUCUACAUGUAUUUGAUAACAUUAUCAUCAGUGCGGAUGUUGUCUCAAAUUACAAGUGCGUACCUGGAAACCACUCCAUCGAGGAGUGUUGGUUUUCUCUUAUAUGAGUUCCAGAUUAAUUCGUACUUCAGGGAUGUGUGCUAUCUUGUGCCGGUAUCGUCCUUUGUAUCUCUGUUCAAGUAGAGGACAGUUGUAAAUAUCAAGUCGCACAAGUGAAAGAGGCAGGCCUUCCUCCACUGGAAGGGUUGUAAGCUUCGGACAGUUCCAGAUCCAAAGACGUUCAAGAGAGGUGAGGAAUUGAAAGCCCUUGCUCAGUUUCUUUAGAUUUGGGAAGUCUACAAUACUCAAAUCAACAAGAGAUCUGGGGAGCAGUAUCUCCGUCUCCUUUGAAUUCUCAGCCGCAGGUGGAAAUGACACCAGACCUCCAUCAUCUUCACCCCAUAGAUACAAUUCUCUCAAAGAGGCGAGUCUCUGCAACCCUUGAAACUCCAUCAGCGCCUUACAAUUCUUGAUCUUGUCAAUUGACAGUGAUGUUAGGUUGGUGGGGAAGGAAGUUGUAGUUGUCAAACCUUCAAAGUAAUCAAUUCUCAGAUCUUCAAGAUUACUGGUGUGCAUCAUGUCUCUCGCCAACUGUGCCACCUCCAAUUUAUCGCAAUUUCUGAUCCCUAUCAUUCUCGGCCACACAUUCAUUCUCGGCAACGAAACAAGACUUUGACAAUCAUAAACAAUUAAUGACUGAAGAUUGGUGAGGUGGCACAGUCCCUCGGGUAAGGAUUUCAGGUUUGGGCAGUUCUCGAUGUCAAUUUCUUCGAGUUGGCAGCUGUCAUCGAGGAACCUCUCAGUUAUUAACUCCAGCUGUCCACACCGCAGUAUCACAAGUUGUUUAAGAGACCCGGGUAAUUGACCUUUGCAUAAUAAGCACAUCGAAGAGGGACAAUUCCUUAUCCACAAACUCUCAAGACAAGAAGAAGAAGAACCGUUACCCACCUCCUCCUCUUUCUCUAUUAAUGACUUCAAAUUCCCACAAUUCCAGAUAUCUAUUCUUUUUAGGCUGGGAGGAAUCUGGUAUUUUGCAAAGUGCAACAGAGAUUCGCAGUCCUGAAUCACUAUGUCUUGGAGACAAGGUGGCAGACCAACAUCCGGAAAAGAAACAAGACUUGAACAUUCACUUAUGUGCAGCUCUUGAAGACAAGGUGGCAGACCAACAUCCGGAAAAGAAACAAGACUUGAACAUCCACUUAUGUGCAGCUCUUGAAGUGAUCUAAGGUGAUGCAAUCCUUCUGGUACCUUCACAAGGCUUCCACACUUGCUUAAUUCCAGACGUUCAAUAUUGCAAUCCAGGAUUUGCAAUUGCAACAACUGCUCUGCUUCAAUCCCUAGCUUUUCAACAAGGAUCGAGUUGUCUUCGAUAUACAGACGACUAAGAGAAAUCAAGUGUUGCAGUAAUCUAUCCUCGUUUUGAAAGCAACAUGUAAGCUCCUCACAACGAGUGAUCUUCAACUCUUUAACAUUUUUCAAGCUUUUCAUGAACGACUCUGUUUGGAAUCUCAAUUCUGAUACAUUUGAAUAUGUCAAACUCUCUAGUAACUCAAACUGAACUGUACUUGUGUCGUACACCACCAUCUUGCACUUUUCAAUGUUUGAUCCAUGAAGCUGUUUGUAUUUAGAUACUGAAACCACCAAUUCCUCACAUCCAUAUAUCUCAAGCUGUGCUAAUGAAUCAAGCUU